Carya illinoinensis is the source of this 1475-nucleotide long non-coding RNA. RefSeq lists it as uncharacterized. The transcript is spliced from 2 exons. Lineage: Eukaryota; Viridiplantae; Streptophyta; Magnoliopsida; Fagales; Juglandaceae. The record is from RefSeq and is a predicted model, not a curated record.
UCGAAAUUCUCGUUUGCUCUCCCCCUCCCAUCCCGCGCCCAGCCCAGAAACCCACCCCCACACCCACGUCGCUCAACCCCACACCCACCCCCGCUCAACCCGCAUCGCCCAGCCCUAAACCCACCCUCACCCCAACUCUCGCUUCGCUCUCCCCACCCUCGCAUCGCAGCCCAUCCUCUUCCCCACCCCUGCAUCGCCCAUUCUCUCCCCCAUCUCCCCGCGUUGCCCAUUCCCUAUCCUAGUUGCCCCGUCACCAACUCUCUCUUUGCUCAGAACUAUAGCUUCUAUCAACCCUCCCUCUACCCACAUAACUGAUUGCGCUGAUUGAAAAGUUUUAUUUUUGCUGAGAGAUCUGUGACCACGAGCGAAGGAACAAAAGGAAAAAAAAACACCGAGAAGAGCUGGUUUAAAAUUCACAAUGGCUUCUUUAUAUUUCUAUCUAAAAUAUCUAUAUAAGAAAAAUGGCCUUAAGCAAGAGUAGAAAGAGAUUAAUCUAAUAGAAUGCAUCUUGGUUCAUUAAUUGUAGAUAUUGAACUACCAUUCCAAAUCUUGGGCAUAAGCCUAGAAAAACUAAUUUUGUCUACCAUUAAAGUAAGUUCAAGUGAUGGCUUAUAUUUUAUUUUGCCUUUUAAAAUGUUUGUUUUAAGCUACAUGCACCUGUCUACCAUAUGAUAUGAGAUAAUGGCAUGCAUAGAUGUCUUGUUGGGUUCCUUACUAAAGUUUUAAGUUCCUGGUUCAUUGGUUUUACCUGUCACAUGUGCCUGCUUCAUUGGUUUUUGAAAGGAUUUAUCCUAAUUUCGCAUGAUAAUGAGCUGCAUAUAUUGGCUUCCUUGAAUUUUGGUUAAGCUUAAAUUUUCUUCAAUCUUUGUUGCUCAUACAGUCACUAGGCGCUAUUACUAUGUUUUCAAUUUUGUAAAUGAGACAAACUCUUGUGUUUGAAUUUGUUUAUCAUUUUUUAGAUUCACACAAGGCAUCAUCCCAAUCAUCAUUUUUAUCUAAUGAUAAAGUGAUGGAAUCACCAACUUGUUGGUGUGGCUUGAAAACAUCAAUAAAGACAUCCCACACUAUCGUUUGGACAGAUAUAUUUCAUUUGCCAAAUCAGAAUAUUCAUAGAAGAGAAAAUAAAGUUUGGAAGAUGUGAGAUGACGUAUUGUUUGCUCAGUGCGAAGUUCAAGAAAGGGAAGAUAAAGUGAGAGAGAGAGAGAGAGAGAGAGAGAGAGAGAGAAAGAGAACUCUUCAAAAUCACUCAAGAAAAUUAUUGUAUUUGUAUUGGGUUCUCACAAUUGUAAUAGUUUUACCUUGGUUUGGAUAAAUUGUAUGUAAAUUUACACGUUGUAUGGAGUACAUUGUUUUUAAAUGGUUGUAAUGUAAUUGUACUCCCUAUGUUUUGGUUCCGAUGUACAAAAGGGAAAUUUGUAAGUUGUGAAAAAUUAAUGUGUGCGUUAAUGAAGUUUCGAGUGUGACAAGUUUGUGCA